This 254-nucleotide ribosomal RNA is filed under the name uncultured prokaryote. RNAcentral's name for it is "partial 16S ribosomal RNA". It matches the Rfam family "Bacterial small subunit ribosomal RNA", at positions 523 to 776 of the family's 1533-position model. The record is from RNAcentral.
AUACGUAGGGGGCAAGCGUUGUUCGGAAUUACUGGGCGUAAAGCGCACGUAGGCGGACAUUUAAGUCAGGGGUGAAAUCCCGGGGCUCAACCCCGGAACUGCCUUUGAUACUGGGUGUCUAGAGUCCGGAAGAGGUGAGUGGAAUUCCGAGUGUAGAGGUGAAAUUCGUAGAUAUUCGGAGGAACACCAGUGGCGAAGGCGGCUCACUGGUCCGGUACUGACGCUGAGGUGCGAAAGCGUGGGGAGCAAACAGG